Oryza brachyantha (malo sina) is the source of this 6967-nucleotide RNA transcript. It is a transcript of the gene named leucine-rich repeat-containing protein 40-like, with no coding region annotated. Lineage: Eukaryota; Viridiplantae; Streptophyta; Magnoliopsida; Poales; Poaceae. The record is from RefSeq and is a predicted model, not a curated record. The transcript is spliced from 39 exons.
CCCAUAGUUUGGGAGUUGCCAGAGAAAAUGGCGUUGGGUGGGUUGAUAUUGGAACCGGUCAAUAAGGAUUUUUGGGUUAAAUUGGGUUCAGUAUGAAGUAAUCAAGCUUUAAAACAACAUUCUUUUAUCAGAGCACUGCAUCCUGCUAUUCAAAUGCAACUUGAUUUUCUGAAUAUAUGGAUUCCUUACGAGAAUUGAGUAAUUUUGUUCAUUGCUAUAUGGUUAUUGAAACACUGUUCUAUCCUUGUGAUUAUUCAGGUCAUUACAUUUGCUCUCUUAAUGAUACUAAGAUGCAGCCAUCAUUUGCCAAAAUAAUUGUUCAUACUCUUCUUGAAACUUCGAGUGCUAUACAAACUCUUGAGAUAUCAUAAAACAAUGCUGACUAAAGACAGUGGAUAAAAGAUUUGCAUGCUUUUCAUCACCAGUGGAAUCAACUAUUUCUUUGCACUCCUUGACCCUUCUUAACCUCAGGGGUACCAAUUUGAACAAGAGUGAUAUCGAAGAUCUAUGCAAAAUCUUAGUUAAGAUGCCUAGCUUAGGAGAGUUAGAUAUAGGUGACAAUUCUAUCAUGGACGAAGGAAUCAGAUUCCUUAUUUGUUUUAUUUCACCGACUCUUCGGAAGGCAAAAUCACUUUCUAGGUUAAGAGCAGAGAACUGUGACUUGACCAAUAUCGGUGUAACUGAACUUCUUGAAUGCCUUCCAUCUGUGAGUGAACCACUUAAUCUGCUGUCUAUAGCGGAUAAUCAUCUUGGGAGUCUUUACUGUUCCUUCUGCUGCUCUUGGAGGUCUGCAUGCUUCCCUGCACGGAAAUUCAGAUGAUAAGGAUGUCCGCCUUUCGACACCGUUUGUACAACAAUUAUGGUCUUCGUGUUUAGGCUAUCCUAAAGCUAUGGAACGAUGUAUUCUCUACUCCGACGGGACUCUCUUAUCUAGUGUCGUUCUCCACCAAAAUUACACGUGGUUACAGAUCGGUCAAUGUCCAACACUCUUACCCUUCAGGAGGCGUGCUCAGGAUGAGAAAAGCACAUUUACCAAGAGAAUGGCAAAAGGUGAUUCUCAAGAGAUCAGAUUAUUUUGCAAGAAGAAAAUACAAGCUAAUGAGCUUAAUGAACUCAUGCCUGUCUUGGGAGAAGUUCUAGAAGAUGUUCAGAUCGGAACUGGCAUUGAGAUAAGUUGGCCUUGUGCCGAUAUAAUAUUCUUCUGUUGUUUACUGGAUCGAAUAAACAAGCAAUUAUGCUUCUCCCUGAGAUCAAAGUUGCAGUUUCUGCGGUGUUUAAUGUUCGCAGUCCUCCAUUUUCUAACACUUAGAUCAUAAAAAUCAGACAUAUUUUUCUAUGGAUCCAAAGUUGGUUUGGAUUCCAGGUAGACUUGUUAUUUUUCUUUGUUUAAUUCUCAAAUUAGUACCAAGUAUUGUUUUCUUGCAAGUUUUUUUUCUUUUGACUAUUAUAUUAAAUGGUUGUCAAGAUUUUACAGUUCAUUAAUUUGGUUUUGUUUUUUUUCCUUUUGGGGGAUUAGAAAGGAAAUGUCAUUCUUUUGCUUGCAAAUAUGCAUGCACGCUUGAGCCCGAAGUCAUCCUCUGAAACAAUGGUAUCCAUACGUGAAUAUUUUUCUUUGCCUAUCUUAUUUCCUCCAUAUAGAAUAAUAUUCUGAUAUGUUCCUUUUAGCUCGAUGACAUAGCAGUAGAUGAAUUAUUGGCGAAAACAUUUGAAAACUAUCUGACCUGGUGCAAAUAAAAAAGCAACAUAUGGUAGACCUGCAUAAUAUUUCAUUUCUCAAAUAUUUGCAAAAUAACUAAAAGUCAGCUGAGGUGGAUGUUUAGGAAGUAUUGUAUCAACAAUGCUAUGCCUCUUUGUACUGCAUCCGCGUGUUACCCUCUGUGAAACAGGAGAUCCAGCAACAUAAACUUCUUUACAUAGCUCUUUAUCUUCUUAUAUGGGGAGAAGCAUCAAAUUUACGACUUAUGCCAGAAUGUUUAUGCUACAUAUUUCAUCAUGUAAGUCUUUGCCCUUCAUAUUUUUGGUGUGCUCCAUGUACUAGUGAUUCCAAACCAUGGUUAUAUUGGUAUUUUCUUCCAAUCAUUUAUGUACAACAGAUCUAUACUUAAGUUGCCUUGUCUGUCCAGCUAAAGUUGCUUUGGUGGGCAAUAAAUCUACCAUGUAAUGUAGUUUUUUUUCAGUUCUAUCUUGUUUUAUAGAUUGAAGUGUAUUUACAUGAAUAUAAUACUAUGAAUGUUCACUAGCUUUGGCUUAAUCUUUCCUGGUAUUGCAUAUAGCAUGCUCCAAGUGACACAUCUCAACAGAAGUGGCUAGGAAAGACAUUUUGUUGAGGUCAGAUCAUUUUGGCAUAUCUUCAGAAGCUUUGAUAGGAUGUGGACACUCCUUGUGCUUGGGCUUCAGCUCUGGUUCUUACAAUAAUAGUUAUGGAGUGGGUUCUUUCAUAAUUAAUCUUAUUCUUAUUCUGAAGGAACUUUUGGGAACAUUUUUCUUGUUUAUUUUAUUUCAGGUUCUUGGCGUGGCAUGGAUUAGAAAGUUCUGUUCAGUUAUUUGAUCCAAUAAUUUUUCAGGAUGUGCUAAGUAUUUUCAUAACCAAUGCAGUACUUCGAGUUAUUCAGGGUUAACUUGGCUUUUGUUGUUUCUUAUAUACUGAUCUACUCAGUCCCAUAAUAUAAGUGAUUAUGUCAAAAAUUGAGGAAGUAGCAAACGUACAAGUCAUGUCACAGAACUUGGGGGAAUACAAAAGUUGGUAGGUGGGAAAUAAAGUACUACAAAAGUUGUAGGUGGGGAAUAAAUUAGUACAAAAAUUGAUAAAUUAGGAAUAAAGUACUGCCUCGGUAUCACAAAAUCUCUUAUAUUUUGGGAUGGAGUAGCUAUAUUCAUUAAUUUCUUGUGCACUAUCUUCUCUUCUCAGUAAUAUGCUUCUUUUGUGCAGUUGUUCUUUAUAUUGCUUUCUCACGGAGAACCAAGAGAACGAUUAGAUUUAGUCAGAAGUUAAGAUUUGUUGUAUAACUUUCAAUUGUUGUGGUAUGGGCCAAUGUUCUUCCCAUUUUUUACGCUAGUUCCCAAAAUUACAUGUCUUGUUCAACUAGAUGACCUAAAAUUUUUCUGGGGAUGUUCUGCUUGUCAAAAUAUGUGGUAGUUGUUGCAUUGUACCUUAGAAGCAACGUGAUUGGGAUGGCAUUGUUUCUUGUUCCUGCUUUAUGCAGCUUUUUAGGGACAUCUACUUGGAGAAUUUGCAAUAUGUUAGCCUGGUGGUGCCAGCCUGAGUUAUAUGUUGGAUGAGGAAUGCAAGAAGACCAAGUACCUUUACUAAAAUAUACAAUAUUAUGGACAAUUCUCUUGUCAUGCAAAAUUUUAGCUACUACUUUCAGAUUAAGCUUCUUGUGGAGCUCACAUGAGAAAUUAUGAAGGUCAAUGUGAAUAAAUAUGAGUGGCAUGAAUUCUUUCCUCAAGUCAAAAGCAACGUUGGACCUAUUCUUGCUGUAUGGGCCCCUAUAAUUCUUGUCUAUUUUAUGGACACACAGAUGUGGUAUUCUGUAUUUGUACCAUCUUUGGUGGUAUCCGUAUGUGUGGUAUUAUUCAUCAUCUUGGUGAGGUGAUCAGAAUUUAGGUAAAGCUGAAAGACAUGAUCCGACAAAGUUUGCUCUUGUUUGGAACCGGAUAAUAAAUAGCUUCCGCUCAGAGGAUCUAAUAAAUAAUAUAGAGAUGGACUUGAUGACAAUGCCCAUGUCACUAGAGCAUAAGUCUGGUUCUAUUCGUUGGCCCAUGCUUUUACUCGCCAAAAAGUUUUCAGAAGCAGUGGAUAUGGUAGCCAAUUUUACUAGAAAAAGUGUGCAACUCUUUAGGAAAAUUAAGAAGGAUAAUUACAUGCUUUGUGCGAUCAACGAUUUCUAUGAAUUGACAAAAGUUUUUGCAGUGCAUGUCCCUGUGAAUGUUAUUACGAUGUUCUACAGAUUUAUUCAAAUACUGAAAGCGAGAAGAGUAUUCAGAAUGCAAGUCUAUUGGAUGAUUUUAGGAUGGAUCAUUUGUCUUCACUGGUUGACAAGUUUGACUGAUUGGCACAGCUUCUGGAGGUUGCGCUCCCUUUACAUGGAAGGCCAAGAAAGCAAACUGCUAUAUCAAGAUCUACUAUAGCGGCCGAACUUCGAGCACUUGUCUCUCUGCUAAAGCUGAGAUUAUAUGGCUUUGUUGGUUAUUGGCUGAUUUUGUUGCGUCCUGAUGAUUGUACACCUCUUGAUGAUCCCUCUCGAUAUUGCCAUAUUGUGGGAACUCAUGUAUCCCUCCCGAUAUGGCCUCAUAUGCCGUUCAUAUUUUAAGUCACUUUGUCAAUGAUCCUACUUCAGUUUUGUUAAGGUCAUCUCCUUCGUGUGCUAAGGUAUUUAAGGGGUACACCUUCUCGAGGAUUGUUUUAUGCUCGAAGUAGUUCCCCUAAGCUCCAUGCUUACUCAGAUGCCACUUGGGCAAGUUAUCCUACAAAACGUGGCUAUCGUAUUAUUCUUGGUUCCUCUCCCCUUACAUGGAAGGCGGCCACGAAGCAAACUACUAUAUCAAGAUCUACUACAGGGGUCGAACUUCAAGCACUUGUCUCUCUGUCACAACUGAGAUCAUAUGGUUUGGUUGGUUAUUGGCUAAUUUUGCUCCAUUUGCAGCUUCGUCCUGAUGAUGGCACACCUCUUGAGGAUCCCUCUCGAUGUCGCCAUAUUGUGGGAAGUCUUGUCUAUCUCAUUGUCACAAGGCGUGAACUUGCCAUGCUGUUCAUAUUUUAGCUUCGUCCUGAUGAUGGUAGACCUCUUGGGGAUCCUUCUCGAUAUCACCAUAUUGUGGGAAGUCUUGUCUAUCUCACUAUCACAAGGCUUGACCUUGCUCAUGCCGUUCAUGUUUUAAGUCAAUUCGCCAGUGGUCCUACCUUAGUUCAUUAAGGUCAUCUCCUUCGUGUGUUGAGAGCAGGGCUAUCGUAUUAUUGUUGGUUCCUCUCCCCUUACAUGGAAGACCAAGAAGCAAACUGCUAUAUGAAGAUCUAGUACAUAGGCCAAACUCCGAGCACUUGCCUCACUACCACAGCUGAGAUUAUAUGGUUUCUUUGGUUAUUGGCUGAUUUUGGUAUGACUUGUGACUCCCCUAGACCUCUUCUAUGUGAUAGUAUCGGCGCUAUACAGAUUGCCAAUGAACCUGUGAGGCAUGGCCUCACGAAGCAUAUUGGUGUUGAUGUCUCGUUUACCCGCUCUCUUUGUCAUCAGAAAAUAAUGGCUCUCCUGUAUGUGCCAUCAAGAUCACAAGUUGUAGAUUCCUUCACUAAAGCAUAAAGUCGAGAGCAGCACCGACUUCAUUUGCUCAAACUCAACGCUUCAGAACUGCCUUGAGUUUGAAGGGGGUGUCACAACACAUACUCUCUAGGCCCAUAUUGGCCCAUAAUUAUGGCUAUAUAUAGUACACAGUCUAAUGACUACUUACAUUCCUAAUCCCAAGUGCACAAACAUACAAGAACUUCAAUAUGAAGUGACAAUUUUACUCCAAGAUAUUAUUGAUAUUCUGGUCCAAGAUAUGUUUGUAGACGCUCAAAGGUGAAACGCCCUACCUUCUGCUUAAUACUAAAGAAAAGGUUGUGGAAGCAUCGUUAAAUUUAGAGGCUCCGCGACGCAUUUCAUUUUUUGCCACAUCCCUUUUUAUGGAUAUGCCACUUGCUCCCAAGAUGAAUGGAAAUUUUUUUUGGAACGGCUUGGUCCAAAGGUCACCCAAGAAGAAAUCAAAUAUAGGGCUUCUUUCCAUGGUCAAACAUUAAGCUGAACUGUCCAAGGGCUUUCUUAGACAAGACAAUUUACUACUUAAAGGGUGGCGGAAAGGGCGGAUGCUGGUGCUGGCCACGUUGCCACUUUUUUGUCAGCCGUUGGAUCCGGCGUCGACGGAUGGAUGCGCUGAUAGCCUCUUGGCGGCACCAUGCGUCGGGUCACUAUGCGGUGUGCGUCGUGCCACGCGGCACGCGUUUCGCUCGACCGCCGUUUUGGUUGCUCCGCGUCCUUCGCCGCUCCGGCGGUGCUCCUAACGGCGGCGGCGGCCCUUCGCCUACUCGACGGACUCGCAGACGGCAGCCGCUGCGGGCUCCCCGCACGGCGGCCAGCGGGUGUUGUACCGUCUCGCUCUGCUCUGGACUCUUCGCCCUCGCCUUCGACACCACCACUGCCGCCAGGUCUGAUUUCGUCCGCUUUGACGACGUCGGCGUCUCCAGGACAUCCAAGGAAGCCGGCAGAUCAGACGACGACAGGAUGGAAUUAUGAUUUGUUAUGUACAUGGUUGAUAUGAGAAGAGCAAACAAUUGUGAGGUCAUGCUCACUAAAAUAAAAAUGCCAAUUCCUGAUAUGAUUCUAAAGGAGUGUCCUGUUGGGGCUUGUAGACUAAACCUCUCGUUCCUUGAUCUAUCGAACAACUCAUUAUCUGGUCUGCCUACUGAACUAGGCCAUACAGAUGUUUUUUUUUCAUGGGUGUAUAUACUUGGUACUCUAUGCAAGUGUGCUACUAUCUUCAUGAGCACUCCAAAUUAUGGACACUAAAAUAUGCUUUGCCAUGCAAUAUUAAACGUGCAAUGACAACCCUAACAAAGCUUCUGCUUACUGGCAAUCCUAUGACGACACUACGGAGGUUCUUGGUUUCUGGACCAACAACAACAUUGUUAAAGUAUUUGCGCAGUAGGCUUUCAUCUGACAAAGGAUCUGGAAGCGCUCCAGCAAAAGAAGCUCAAAUUGCUGCACCAAGACGAUUAUCUUUAUCUUCUAAGAAAAAGACGUGGUCUUGCUGUACGCCUGAGCCCAACUGUUGGAUGAUGAAUGCUAAUGAAGCUGGAGCGGAGCUAGAGUAUUUUAUUGGGGUUAGACGACCCUGAUGACCUUCAACGAAAUACAUGUUUAAAUGAUAAGUUCGAGUUCCAGAGGAGUCAAUCAUUUCGACUGAAUCCGGAGGCACUCUUGGUGUUUUCUAU